GUAGGUGGCAAGCGUUGUCCGGAAUUAUUGGGCGUAAAGCGCGCGCAGGCGGUUCUUUAAGUCUGAUGUGAAAGCCCACGGCUCAACCGUGGAGGGUCAUUGGAAACUGGAGAACUUGAGUACAGAAGAGGAAAGCGGAAUUCCACGUGUAGCGGCGAAAUGCGUAGAGAUGUGGAGGAACACCAGUGGCGAAGGCGGCUUUCUGGUCUGUAACUGACGCUGAGGCGCGAAAGCGUGGGGAGCAAACAGGGAUUAGAUACCCUGGUAGUCCACGCCGUAAACGAUGAGUGCUAAGUGUUAGGGGGUUUCCGCCCCCUUAGUGCUGCAGCUAACGCAUUAAGCACUCCGCCUGGGGAGUACGGCCGCAAGGCUG
Molecule: ribosomal RNA, 373 nt
Filed under: uncultured organism
Description: partial 16S ribosomal RNA
Rfam family: Bacterial small subunit ribosomal RNA
Source: RNAcentral